RNAcentral lists this ribosomal RNA (500 nucleotides) under uncultured cyanobacterium. Its description in RNAcentral is "bacterial SSU rRNA". It matches the Rfam family "Bacterial small subunit ribosomal RNA", at positions 356 to 869 of the family's 1533-position model. The record is from RNAcentral. Lineage: Bacteria; Bacillati; Cyanobacteriota.
GGGGAAUUUUCCGCAAUGGGCGCAUUCCUGACGGAGCAAUACCGCGUGAGGGAGGAAGGCUCUUGGGUCGUAAACCUCUUUUCUCAGGGAAGAACAAAAUGACGGUACCUGAGGAAUCAGCAUCGGCUAACUCCGUGCCAGCAGCCGCGGUAAUACGGAGGAUGCAAGCGUUAUCCGGAAUGAUUGGGCGUAAAGCGUCCGUAGGUGGUUAUGUAAGUCUGUGGUUAAAGCGUGGGGCUCAACCCCAUAACGGCCAUGGAAACUACAAGACUUGAGUGAAGUAGGGGUAGAGGGAAUUCCCAGUGUAGCGGUGAAAUGCGUAGAGAUUGGGAAGAACACCGGUGGCGAAAGCGCUCUACUGGACUUAAACUGACACUGAGGGACGAAAGCUAGGGGAGCGAAAGGGAUUAGAUACCCCUGUAGUCCUAGCCGUAAACGAUGGAUACUAGGUGUUGCCCGUAUCGACCCGGGCAGUGCCGUAGCUAACGCGUUAAGUAUCC